CACCCUGAAGAUGGCUCCUGGUGCUUUGAGCGCCUUGCUCUACACCAUGUGUCCCUGCACAGGAGACUGAGCUAGAAAAAGGUGCAGCUCAGCUGUUCCCCCUGGAGACCAAACGAUGUCACAGUGAGCUAGGAAGUGCUGUGCUACAGGGCACAGCUUUCCUUCCUAGCUCACACAAAGGCGGACACUUCUGUCUUCCCCCUUUGACUGGCAGAGACUCUGAGGGCCAGGUUGUCCCCACGCUACCCAGAUCCCGUCUCACUGUCUGUCUCUCACAGAGGAAAGAUGGCCAGAACACAGAAAGUGGGGAGACAGACCCUAAACAGGAUGCAGGAAUGGACACACAGUACACCAUAAAGGGCAUUGUACAAAAUUCCAGAGCAUCUCAACCAGGUAAGCACUGGGACAGGGUUACUUUAGUGAAGCAGUCACUCCUAGAGGCAAGAAUAAGUAGAGAAACCAAGGGGGUAAGGGAUACACACCUUUAAUCCCAGCAUUUGGGAAGUGGAUGCAGGCAGGCAGAUCUCUGAGUUCAAGGCCAGUCUGGUCUGCGGAGUCAGUUCCAGGACAGCCAGGGCUACACAGAGAAACCCUGUCUUGUGCUGGGGGUGGGGAGGUUAGCAGGCCCUGAAUAUGCUGAGGAAGGAGCCAUGUGGCUGCCCGAGGAAAUGGCCUGUGAAGGAACAGAG
This 689-nucleotide long non-coding RNA is filed under the name Rattus norvegicus (Norway rat). Its description in RNAcentral is "long non-coding RNA NONRATT032919". The record is from RNAcentral. Lineage: Eukaryota; Metazoa; Chordata; Mammalia; Rodentia; Muridae.